RNAcentral lists this ribosomal RNA (497 nucleotides) under uncultured bacterium. Its description in RNAcentral is "partial 16S ribosomal RNA". It matches the Rfam family "Bacterial small subunit ribosomal RNA", at positions 28 to 507 of the family's 1533-position model. The record is from RNAcentral.
GAUGAACGCUGGCGGCGUGCCUAAUACAUGCAAGUCGAGCGAACGGACGAGACGUUUGCUUUUCUGAUGUUAGCGGCUGACGGGUGAUUAACACGUGGAUAACCUACCUAUAAGACUGGGAUAACUUCGGGAAACCGGAGCUAAUACCGGAUAAUAUUUUGAACCGCAUGGUUCAAAAGUGAAAGACGGUCUUGCUGUCACUUAUAGAUGGAUCCGCGCUGCAUUAGCUAGUUGGUAAGGUAACGGCUCACCACGGCAACGCUGCAUAGCCGACCUGAGAGGGUGAUCGACCACACUGGAACUGAGACACGGUCCAGACUCCUACGGUAGGCAGCAGUAGGGAAUCUGCCGCAAUGGGCGAAAGCCUGACGGAGCAACGCCGCGUGAGUGAUGAAGGUCUUCGGAUCGUAAAACUCUGUUAUUAGGGAAGAACAUAUGUGUAAGUAGCUGUGCACAGCUUGACGGUACCUAAUCAGAAAGCCACGGCUAACUACGUG